This 598-nucleotide ribosomal RNA is filed under the name Hymenochaetales sp. KUC20131001-10. RNAcentral's name for it is "eukaryotic LSU rRNA". It matches the Rfam family "Eukaryotic large subunit ribosomal RNA", at positions 66 to 648 of the family's 3401-position model. Lineage: Eukaryota; Fungi; Basidiomycota; Agaricomycetes; Hymenochaetales. The record is from RNAcentral.
UAACAAGGAUUCCCCUAGUAACUGCGAGUGAAGCGGGAAGAGCUCAAAUUUGAAAUCUGGCGGCCUUGCCGUCCGAGUUGUAAUCUGGAGAAGCGUCUUCUGUGUCGGACCGUGUACAAGUCUCUUGGAACAGAGCGUCGUAGAGGGUGAGAAUCCCGUCUUUGACACGGACUGCCGAUGCUCCACGAGGCGCUCUCGAAGAGUCGAGUUGUUUGGGAAUGCAGCUCAAAGUGGGUGGUAAAUUCCAUCUAAAGCUAAAUAUUGGCGAGAGACCGAUAGCGAACAAGUACCGUGAGGGAAAGAUGAAAAGCACUUUGGAAAGAGAGUUAAACAGUACGUGAAAUUGUUGAAAGGGAAGCGCUUGAAGUCAGUCGCGUUGUCCGGAACUCAGCCUCGCUCUUGCCUGGCGUACUUUCCGGUCGACGGGCCAACGUCGAUUUUGGCCGACGGAUAAAGGCAGGUGGAAGGUGGCACCUCCGGGUGUGUUAUAGCCUCCUGUCGCAUGCGUCGGCUGGGAUCGAGGAUCGCAGCACGCCUUUUUGGCCGGGGUUCGCCCACGUAACGUGCUUAGGAUGUUGGCGUAAUGGCUUCAAACGAC